Molecule: ribosomal RNA, 396 nt
Filed under: Triticum aestivum (bread wheat)
Lineage: Eukaryota; Viridiplantae; Streptophyta; Magnoliopsida; Poales; Poaceae
Description: partial small subunit ribosomal RNA
Source: RNAcentral
AUGCGUGAAAGAAAUGAAAUAGAUAGAAUCUUUUUCGAAGAACAACCUAUGCUUAAACACAAUUUGCCUAUUGAAACUCUAGGAGGUCCUCCUCCACCUAAAGGUGAUCCUGUGUUUGAAUUAAAGCAAUUGCCAGACACUCUGAAAUAUUCUUAUCUUGAUGAAAAGAAGAUAUAUCCUGUUAUUAUUAGUGCUAACCUUUCAAAACAUGAAGAAGAAAGAUUAUUGAAAGUUCUAAGGAAGCACAAGGCUGCUAUUGGAUAUACUCUUGAUGACCUUAAGGGCAUUAGUCCCAUUCUAUGUCAGCACAAUAUUAGUAUGGAACCUGAUGCUAAACCCGUUGUUGAUCACCAACAUUGGUUAAAUCCGAAGAUGAAAGAAGUGGUAAGAACAUAA